RNAcentral lists this ribosomal RNA (253 nucleotides) under uncultured bacterium. Its description in RNAcentral is "partial 16S ribosomal RNA". It matches the Rfam family "Bacterial small subunit ribosomal RNA", at positions 524 to 776 of the family's 1533-position model. The record is from RNAcentral.
UACGGAGGAUCCGAGCGUUAUCCGGACUUAUUGGGUUUAAAGGGUGCGUAGGCGGUUUGAUAAGUUAGAGGUGAAAUGUCGGGGCUCAACCCCGAAACUGCCUCUAAUACUGUUGGACUAGAGAAUAGUUGCGGUAGGCGGAAUGUAUGGUGUAGCGGUGAAAUGCUUAGAGAUCAUACAGAACACCGAUUGCGAAGGCAGCUUACCAAACUAUAUCUGACGUUGAGGCACGAAAGCGUGGGUAGCAAACAGG